GCGCCGAUGGUCAAGCGGUACGAUGUUCGCCUCCCAUACUUUGAGCGGCAAGCGAGAGACCCGAGUUCGAACCUCGGUCGGCGCA
Non-coding RNA from Aspergillus egyptiacus, 85 nucleotides. The record is from the annotation of a GenBank genome assembly. Lineage: Eukaryota; Fungi; Ascomycota; Eurotiomycetes; Eurotiales; Aspergillaceae.